Molecule: unclassified non-coding RNA, 366 nt
Filed under: Hevea brasiliensis (rubber tree)
Lineage: Eukaryota; Viridiplantae; Streptophyta; Magnoliopsida; Malpighiales; Euphorbiaceae
Source: RNAcentral
AGUUUUGGAUUGGCUCCUAACGGCGGAGCCUCAUUCGGGCCCGUUGGAGCUUGUCACUGACAUCAGAUUCAGGGGCGGUGCUUGGGUCCACCGAAAGUACAACUUCUGUUUGUUCGUGGAGGUGGACUUGAACGUGGUUGGAUUUUGGUGACUCCGAAACUGCACGGUAGAUUGUGCUGCCGAACAGCUGUGGUUGCUACUUCUUGUUCUUGUGCUUGCUCAUUGAGGGCAGUUCACUUAUUAGACCCGGUGGUGCCGGGGGUGCGCUGGGUUCGUACUUGCUCGCCUUCUGCAAGGUUGGUUAGCAGUAUCGCGUUUAGUACUCUUAUUGAUUGAUUUAGUUUUGUUUUGUAUAUUAUAAUCAUG